RNAcentral lists this ribosomal RNA (382 nucleotides) under uncultured eukaryote. RNAcentral's name for it is "partial 18S ribosomal RNA". It matches the Rfam family "Eukaryotic small subunit ribosomal RNA", at positions 592 to 976 of the family's 1831-position model. The record is from RNAcentral.
UGUAAGCGUAUACCAAAGUUGUUGCAGUUAAAACGCUCGUAGUCGGAAUUUGGCAGUUCCGGAAGUGUGCACGUCGUGUGCGCACUUUGCGGGGACUGCUUUUGUGGUCUUGCGUAGGAUGAGGCACUUUCAUUAGUGAACGUCCUCACGCAACCACUCUUUACUGUGAGAAAAUCAGAGUGCUCAAAGCAGGCAUUUGCCGUGAAUGUAUUAGCAUGGAAUAAUAGAAUAGGACUCGGUUCUAUUUUGUUGGUUUGUUGGGACUGAGUAAUGAUUAAGAGGGACAGUUGGGGGCACUUGUAUUCCGGCGCUAGAGGUGAAAUUCUUAGAUUGCCGGAAGACAAACUGCUGCGAAAGCGUCUGCCAAGGAUGUUUUCAUUGA